GACUUCUCGAGCUGCAGUCGGUGAAGAGAUAAUUAUGGUGGUUAUACGUCCCAGUCUUAGACUCAUAAUCGGACCGUAAACCUGAGCCAGGUUGGCUAAGGAUUUAUGCGGGUGUUUGCCGAGGUUGUGUAUAUUUCCUAUGAGUGGUAAGGGGAAGGGUCCUGGUGGAAGCUUUUGAACAGCUUUCAUAUGAUUUUUUUGUAGUAAGAAGAGUGAAAAGGCCAGCAGUAUGCACAGCACACUGAUCAAAAAGAUCUCCAUAUGCGCUGGUUCUGGUUGAACCUUGACGAAGGGUUAAUAUACUGAUAAACAAUAAAGAAGAUGAGGGUUGGGAUGCUUAUGCAAUUGUGUUAGUUUCUGUUUCUAUUUAUACACAAACAGGACCGGCAGAAAAUAGAAAUCAAUGGUUCCAAUUAAAACAACCUAAAACGUCUAUGUCCAGAAUACUGCUUAAAGAUUUGACACUUCAAUUAUUUCUCAAACAAAUGUUGUUGGCGUCACGCCAUCUCCAACGGUGGAAGCAGUUUUUUAUCUAAAUUUUUGUCCAAAUUUAGACCGAAUUAUCUUUUCAUUUUAACUAUUCGGCCUAAAUUUUGGUCCAAAUUCAUAUACUCCCUCCGUCCCGGUCAAUUCUAUACGGUUUAUUUUUCGGGAUGUCCCAUCAUUUCUAUACAUUCCCAAAAUAGCAAUUUUUUAUAAUAUAAAACACUAUUACACCCACUAAUUUCUUCAGCUAUCUCCAUUCUAUAAUACUAAAAACACUAUUACACCCACCACUUUCCUCCACUAUCUCAAAUCUAUUAUUAAAAAUAAAUGGGUCUCAGCACUUUACCCACUUCUCAUCUAACUUUACUCAAAUCUUACCCUUUUUCUUCGUUUCCGUGUCGAAUCCCAAUGUAUAUUAUUCAUUGGGACGGAGGGAGUAUACAUAUUUUAUUCUUCAAACUUUCUUUUUAUUAUUAUUAUUAUUAUUAUUAUUAUUAUUAUUAUUAUUAUUAUUAUUAUUAUUAUAUUUUAAUAAUAAUAUAAAAUUUCAUAUUAAUCUUAAACUUAUAAAUUUAUUUAAUUAGAAAAACGCUACAUUCAAACAAAGAAAAUCAAAAGAAAUUUAACAUCUUACUAUAUUAACUAAAAAAAAUAAAAGAAAGUUUUAGUUUAUAUUAUGAUUUCUUCUAAGUUGCAGUUUCAAUCAAGUUUUAUCGAGCGUAAUCUCUAUUUUAUGUUUAAUUAAUGUAUUGUUAAUUUGAAUUUAAUAAAUUUAAGAGUCUUUAGUUUUAUUAUAUUUCAGAAUUAAAUAUAAUUUGUAAUUAUUUAAUAAUUAUUCUAACAUAUAAUCAAUCAACUAACUAAAUAUACAAAACAUAAAAGGUUAUUAUUAUAUUAUUAAAAAGAUUUAGGCAAGUGAAUAGGGUUGGCCUCAAUUUAGGCAGGCACCGUUCACCGGUCUAAAUUUAAACCAAGAUUUAGGUCACUAUCGGAAAAAUUUACGUCGAAACUGGUCCAAAUUUGGACCUUUAGCCCCCUGUUGGACUAACAACCAUUUUUUAAUUAAGUUUUGAUUUUUUUUAUUUCAAUCUCAUAAAUAAUGAUAACGUUAUUUCGGUAGUUGUCCCGAUAUUGAUGUGAUUCCACCAAUUAACUCAUGAUUCAACCAUUUAAAUAUAAUUUUUGUUUUUUACGACACUCAUGUGGAUACAUUUUUAUCAUCUCUAAUAAAUUAUUUUUUGUAGCUCUCUUAACUAAUUCUUGAUCCUGCCUCCUUGUACAGAAAUUAUUAACGUUGGUGUUCGUAGAGGUUUGGGUGCUUUAAACGAUUUUUAAAACUGAUGCUCCUAUUUUUCAAGAUCGUAAAUGAAAAUUUUACAUACAUUCAAACUAAUAUACAAUAAUAUAAUAAAAACAUUUAUUUAAAAUUAACACAAUCAAUUAAAGUGCAUGUAAAUAUAUAAAUACAUAGAUUUAUCAUUAUAUGCAAUAGUAGAAUUUUUUGGUACUUGGUACUUUUAUGACAGUGAUGCCCAGGACGUCCAUCUUGGUCGCCAUAACAAGGGCCAGUCCUGGAUGUUUCCGUUGAGAGACUUAUGAAAAUGAACACUUGUUCGUCAUUUAAUACCUUGAGGAUCGAUAGACCUAAGAAUAGGAAAAUAAUCCGCAAAAUUAGGCUUACCGGACUCCAUCAUAAGGAGCCUAAAUGAAGAGCCUCUUGGAGAUGCUCUCUAAUGGAGCUCUUAAACAAGCUCCUAUCCUUCAAUUUAAAGAGCAAAUCAAAAAAUAGUGCUCCAAUGGGCUCCUAGAUGCUCUUUAAAAAUUUAAGAGCCUACCAUCUCUCCACUCUUUUGAAGAGCAUCUAGUAGCUCCUAACUAAUAUUAUAUUAAUUUUUCUCCCACUACACAUUCAACCUUUCUCUCUCUUUUCACUUCUCUCUCUAAUUUAUAUGAAUAAAAUAAGAAUAGAGAGCAUGUUUAAAGAGGAGCAUUGGAGUUGGAAGAUUUUUCAAUGUAGAGCAUCUCCAAUAGUCUCUUAGUUGGCUCCUAUGUAUAAUAUAAAAUAUUAAGCUCCUAGUAAGUUAGUACAUUGUUAGGAGUUUGAACUCCAAUAAUGCUCUUUAUACUCACUCUUAACAUUAUAUUUUAUUAUUAUUUGAACUCCACUAUGAUAAAAGUACAAAGUCACAUGGGUGAUAGUGAAUAUUAUAUUACAAAAAACAAGUUAAGAGCCUUGUAGUGGCUCCUAAAAGAGAGGAGAGAGAAGGGCCUCUUAGUAUUUUUAAGAGCCAUUAAGAGCCUAUUGGAGCUCUAUUUUCUCUUAUCCUCUUUACUUUUGGUUUUAAGAGCCACUUUAAGAGGUUAUUGGAGAUGCUCUUAACUCACUAAGAGCCACAUAUUAUAUUAUAUUUUAAAAAGUGAUUUAAGAGCACCAUUGGAGAUGCUCUAACUUGAGAUUUGAGGAGGGAGAGAAAAAAUGUUGCUCCAAGAGACUCUUAAGUGGCUCUUAAAUCACUAAGAGCCUCUUGUUUCUCUCUCCUCUCUCCUCAAAGUUAAGAGCCACCACAUUAUUCCUAACUUAUUUUUUCACAAUAAAAAAAUCCUUCAUUCCACUUCACCUCCAUCUUUUCAUCUCUUUUGUUAUAGUGGAGCCCAAUAUAUGAAUAAAAUAUGAAAUAGAGAAGAGAUGUAGAGAGUAUUAUUGGAGCCACAUUUUUUAUAUUAUAUUUAGGACCCAACAAAGAAGCUCUUGGAGAUGCUCUAAUGCUCCACACCGUUUCCUUAAACUCCUUAGCUACAUUCCCAUGAUACGGAUCUGCCAUAUCCUUGGAAAACAUGGUAUUAGACAAAAGAUUAAGCGCGGUCUGAAAAGCAGCACGACCAAUAUCUACAGCCUCCCCACUUUCGCUACACUUAGUAAUGUAUCCAACAAGCUCCUGCACCUUGUUUGUUCGAAGAUGAUGAUUUGCAUCCAGCUUGCUAGUAGUAAAAAUAUAAGUGCUAAUAAUUUUUGUCAUCUGUAGCCUCAUUCUUAUCAGUGGUGUUUACAGGGCCGACUUUAGAGAUUUGGGUGCUCUAGACGAUUUUUGAAACUGAUGCUCCUAUUUUUUCAAGAUCAUAAAUGAAAAUUUUACUUACAUUCAAAUCAAUAUACAAUGACCAUACAAAAAAAAAAAGUUCAAUAUACAAUAAAAUCAUAUAAAUAUUGGUUUAAGAUUAACACAAUCAAUUCAAAUGCAUGUAAAUAUAUAAAUACAAAAAUUUAUCAUUAAAUACUACAUAUGCAUGAAUUUGUUGAUGUCCUAGGAUAGUGUGUCCAAGAUCCGUUGAGAGAUUUAAGAGUCAUCCAGAUAGUUCACAACCUUCGUGACAACAACCAUAAUCUGCAACGUACUUCCGAAAGCCAUAGUUAUUGCUCUCCAAACACUAACCAUAGAUUAGGACACUCUUGGGGGCAUGGCCCUGAUGUAGCUCUGUUGUAGACUGAUAUAUAAUACAGAACAUCAGAGCCCGUUUUGGUGUGUGGAAAAACUAAACCUUACUCCCAGAGGCGGAUCUUAGAAGGGGUAAGAGGGGGCAACUGACCCCCCUUAAUUUUUAUUUUUUUUAAUAUUAUACAUAUUUUUAGGUUGUAAAAUUGAAAUUGACCCCCUUAAUUUUUUUGUGACCCCUUUUAUUUUUUUUUACAAAAAAAUUGACCCCCCUUAACUUUAUAGUCAGAUCCGCCACUGCUUACUCCGUUAUUUAGAAACGCUAAUAAACUUACUGGUGUAGGAAAUGACAAAUAUGAGAAAGAAAAAUGCUCAUACUACAAGAUUAUUAUUAUAAUAAUUGUCCAAUAGUUAGAGAGCUGAAGUCAAGCUAUAUUUGUUUUUCAUAAAUUUGGUCACAAAAGAUGUGUCGUUUUUGUAUAAUUAAGAAGUAGUUAUUUGGUAGUUAUCUAUUCUGUUUUGAGAAUCGAAUCCAACCACAGUUUAUUGGGAGUAUGGAUAAACUGAAGGUUCUCAUUGUCACAAAUUAUGGGUCUUCCUUCUCUAAGCUAGACAACUUUUAUUGUCUUGGAAGUUUACCCAUUCUAAGGUGAAUCAGAUUAGAACGAUCGAGUUUCAUUAUCUUCCCUUAACACGUCCUCAAUCGAGUUGGUGAACCUGCAGAAGAUAACUUUUACAAUGUGUGAGAUCGGCGAGGCAUUUGAGAAUGGUACUAUAUAUGGACCUCCCUCGCAUCUUCCCUAAUCAUCUGGAACUUGAGAUUGACUGUUGUGAUGACUUGAUGAAAUUGCAUGCUGGAAUCUGUAAUGUUGUCAGUCUUAAGAAGAUCUGCAUCACUUACUGCAAUGAGCUAUCUUUGCUUCCAGAGGAGAUCGGCAGGCUCAGAAAUCUUGAAGUCUUGAGGCUCAAUUCUUGUACAAAGCUAUUAGAGUUGCCAGAGUCAAUUGGAAACCUCCAAAAAUUAACAGUUCUUGAUAUAUCUGAUUGCUUAAGCAUAAGUAAUUUGCCUAGAACAGUAGGUGAGUUGUGUGCUUUAAAAAAGUUCCACAUGAGAGGUUGCGAAGGAUUGUCAGACCUACAUAAGCUUCCCUCAUCUGUAAAAGAUCUGACGCUAUUAGAGAAGGUGAUAUGUGAUGAAGAAGCUAGUCAUCUAUGGAAAACAUAUCGAAGCCAUUUGAAAAAUCUGGUAGUCGAAGAGGUAAAAGAAGAUGCAUUUGAAAGCCUUAUGAGGGUCAUCUAACCAAUUCAGCAUUGUUGACACAGCAAAAGAAUGUUGUACAGCGUUUAGAUUUCUGAAAUCAGAACUUCUGAUUGUAUACUACUGGCAAGUGGCAACACUUGGGUUUUCAUUGUUAUUCAUAGAUAUGUGUAAAUUCUAUAGAGUGUAGUAACAUGUCAUUCAGAAAAUCUCCAGGUUUCCAGAUGCUAAUGUAUUUAAAGUUGGUUAAAGACACAUAUCCAUGUAAGCUUGAAAAGUACGUCAAUAAUUAGUUCUCUUGUGUUGGGACAGGAACUCAAUGUGGUGCAUGCAAUUGAAACUUUUGUUUUUGGUUGAGCUAUGAUUUGGUUUGUUAUUCACAUAAUUAUCCUGUUCUCUAUUUUGUCAGAAUUGGUUUUAUUAAGUUUGUAAGAAUGUAAGUGCAUUUGCUCAAUUUAGUGUCUUUGAUUCAAGUGUGAAAGUCCAUGCCUUCUCGAGCUUUUAGCAUAAACGUUCCGUGACCAAGCCGCUUAAGAGGGAGUGAGGGACAGUCCGAGAAAGAAAUUAUAACAUCCAGUCCACAACCAUAUGUAUAUAUAUCCGUUUAUUGACUCGUAGUAUCUAUUAAUGGUUUAAAGCUAUCCCUUAUUGUAGAUUCGAAGUCCGAAUUCACACACAAACUUCUAGAAUCUGGUGUCUCUGCACUUCCAGCUGGACCAAAUUCUCAUACUCUCUCCGUCUCAAUUUAUAGGUCCCUUUUGGACAAAAAAUUUGUCCCACAAUACUUGUCCCUCUCUUUUUUCAAUACAAAUUUAUUUCUAUAUUAAUUAUAAAUUUUUUGAAACUCAACAUUAUUCUCAUUUCUCAAUGCACUAAAUCUCUAUAUUUAUUGUGAUUUUUUUGAAACUCAAUUAUAUUCUCCCUUAUCAAUGUACUAAUUAAUGAUAUAUGAGAUAAAAUUAUAUCUAAUCAACUACUUUUUUCUUAAUAUGCGUGUUUAUUCCAAAAAGGACCUAUAAAUUGAGACGGGGAGUACCAUUUAUAAUAUACAAGCCAAGCUCACAAUUAGAUACGUACAGGGUCCCGACAAACCAACAAACCAUCACAAGUCGAUCUAAAAUUAAUCAGAGGUUUGCCCAAAAUUUUAGUAAAUUCUACAUCCGUUAUUAACUUGUAUCUAUACAAACUUCUUAUUCUAAACGGUGUCCAUGUUACAGAAAUGCUCACAAAUGUUUAUUAUGAAAGACGCUAGAGGACUAACUUCGCAGAAAGCCAUUCCUUUUAUUACAUCGUAUCUGACUGUACCCCCUUGAAAUGUAUUGGCAUUUUUAGUUUGUAUAGUAUUUUUUUUCCUUCUCAGUUUGAUAACUCAAAUUUAUGAGUAAAAUUGGAUGUGAUAUGAUAUAGAUGGUACAUUACAUCUGACAUGUUUUAAAUUUGAAAACAGAUUUACGUGUUCAACUUCGCUGUAAUGAACCCAUAAGUGAAGAAUUCCCUUCAGCCAAAUUCAUAUGUGAUGUAUGAAUCACAAUAAUAGUUGCCAGCAGUGUGAUCGCCAAUGUGCUCUACUUUGCAAAACAUUUCAAAAUUCUUCAAAGGUGAUGUUGAAGAUUGCGUGUUUGGUAAAGUUUUCCAUAAAAUUCAACGCCGAUGUCUUGUACAUACAAGUUACUCCCUCCGUCGUUUUCCUAGAUCUUUUGGUUGUCACUUUUUAACGUAAUUUAAUGUGAUUAAAAGGUAUAUUUUCAUAUUUUUUUUAAAUUAAAAUUUAUAGUUUAUAUUUUAUUCAUAAAAAUAUUUUAAGAAUAAUAAAUAAAAAUAUAUUUUUAAUUAUUUUAAAUUACAUGUAAAAUGUUAGAAUGACAGGUGAAAAAGAACUUAUAAUAUAUAAAAGUCAUGCCGACUAGCCAUAACAAAGUCCUUCUUCACAUUGACAUUUAUCUCAACUCCAAGAAGCCUGCCAGGAUUUCUUCUUCACCGACCUUGAAAUUUUUGAUGAGCUCGUUUAUUAUGUUUGUUGCUUUCGACAACAUAAAUUUUCCAUAGAUUUCACCGUAAAUGUAAUAUCUUAAAGUAAAAUUCUGGAUAAAAUCAUUAUUGCGUUUGGUAUUUUCGUCAAACCAUNAAAUUAGAUAUUAAAAUUAUAAGAUAUAAUAUAUAUAUAUAUAUAUAUAUAUAUAUAUAUAUAUAUAUAUAUAUAUAUAUAUAUAUUUUCAUAUCAUAAACAUAUCUUAGUUUAAAUAUUAUUGCACAAAGUAAAUUCAUAUAUUUAAUUAGCUAAUAAUAUACCCUCAGUGUUUGAUUCAGCUUCUUUUCUCAUGUAUUCACUUAUUCCACCCAUUUGUUUAUAUAUACCGGACACCAAAACUAAUAAAAUUAUAUAUAUAUAUAUAUAUAUAUAUAUAUAUAUAAUAUAUAUAGUUAAGUUCUAUGGAGUACAAAAAAAAUUGGAGUAUUGGAGUACAAAGUUUGAUAAAAUGUAAUCUAGUCAUCUAAAUUUCAAUUUUUUUUGUCCAAUAAUAUUUGUAAAUAUUUGACAACCUGCACAUUAUGUUCUGCAACAUAAACAUCGUGAUCAAAUGGUAGAAUAAUUACUUUUAUAAAUCAUAGGACUCUAUGUUCUGCAAUAUAACUAAUAAGCAGAACAAUAAUCUUAAUACUUGUUAAAGUUGAAAGAUAUUAAUGAUUAAUUGACAAUUAUGUGCAAGACAACUUAUAAAUGAUAGAUUAUAUCAAAAUUUGGAUAAUCAAAGAUAUUAUAUAGGAUCAAACUAAAAAAUUAUGAUUUGUACUCCAAUACUCCAAUGUUUUUAUGUACUCCAUAGAACUUAACUCAUAUAUAUAUAUAUUAUAGAUUUAGUUAAUUUUAACCUAUCUUUCUCUUUGUUUUUUUUACUUUUUUAUCCUAUUCAAUUGUUUAUAUUUAUGCACGACGAUUCGUAAAAUUUUACAAAAUAGCAUAAAAUCGAAAGAAAAGUUUAUUAAUGAAAUGUUUAUCUGAUAGAUUAAAAAAAAUGAAACAAAACAGUGGAUGAGAUUAAUUUUUUUUUUUUUUUUUGCUAGUUGAUGAGAUUAAUUUUUGUAUUAUAUUCUUUCCAUCUUUUAUAUGAAACCAUGACUAUUAAAACAUACUUUCAAGUGAUUUAAUUGCAUAAUUAUUUUUUUUACAAAUGUUUUUGUGUAUAAAGAUACAUAAUAAAAAAUUUAAUUAAAAAAAGUCAAAAUUUAUUAUUUUUAUUAAUCAUUCAAAGCACUUAAUAAGUGUAAAAACGGAGAGAAUAAAAGCUAAUAUUUUAGUCAAAUGUUAAGAAUUUAACAGAAAAUUAAGAAAAAAAAUGUAAAGAAUUUCGAGACAACAAGUAUUAUUCUAAUUGUCCAAUACUAAGAGAGUUGAAGUCAAGCUAUAUUUAUUUUUCUUAAAUUAGCCUUGUGUAAUUAAGAAGUAGUUAUAUGUUAAUUAUAUAUUUUGUUUUGAGAGUCGACUCUCGCAAUUAGACUUUUAGUUCUCAUUUUUUUGAAUUUUCAUCCUCUCAUCAAUUAAGCCUUCUUCCCCGUAUCAUCAUUUUUCUAUUUAUCAGCUUUUCAAUAAAACUAAAAUCUAUUUUUUUAUUUUUUUUGGUGAGAUCUUAUUAAAUACCUUGUUAUCAAGGUUGUAGUGGUCCCAUAUUUUUGAGAAGUUAGUAUGCUAUGUUUUGAAAUUUUGUUUAUCGUUUAUGAAUUUUUCUGAAAAGGAUUUAUAAGAUUUUUUCGGUGAUUUAUAAUACUCGUAUUGAUUCUAGGUAGGUGAUGAAUAUGGCAAGAGCACAUUUUUUGCAACAAAAAUGUAUGGGGGUCAUAUAGUCACUUUUAAUUGUCAUAGUAUUUUCAUAAAUAUUCUUAAAAGUUAUAAAAUUACAAAAAAGUUAAAAAAACAUAGUAUUUGAUAAGCUCCUUUAUAAUAUCAAUUUUGUUAACAUAUAUAAAUUUUAAUUUAAUUCCUAAUUUAAAAGUUAAAUUAUUAUUUCUUAUAUCUCCCCUUUCUUUUCCCCGAAAACUUUAAUUAUGUAAUAUAUCUAAAAGCAAUAACAAACAAACUGAGAUAGACAUCUUUGUUUCAAAUAUGCAUUAUUGGUACUUUAAUUUUUUUUUUUAGAAAAUCAAUAUUUUGAGUGUAUAAAAUUUCAAAAGGAUUAGAUUUACUUUUUAUAAUAUAUCCUCUUUAUGUGACAAAUUUGUUUUAUUUAUAUAGACAGAUGUGCUUUGUCUGUUUUCUUAAAACAGGGCAAGGAAAUAUUACAUCCACGUAAAAAAUUUCUUAAAAUUUAGUCAAAUUUAUCCAUAAAUAUACAUAACUCCAAGGUCAAUAACCGUUGUGAAAGUACGACACUAUACUGGUUUAAUGGAGAGUAUAUCACAUGCAACCUGAAGUCUAAACGAUCUCAAUCGCUUGGGUCACAUAAUUAUCACAAAAGUCAAAAAUCAUGAAUCAUCUUUACAACAUUGGGAUCCGCUGUACAUCUAAAGAACAUACUUUUACUCGUAUUACUUAAAAAAGUUAUUUUUCACUUAUAAAUAAAAUUUCACUAAUUAUAAGAAAUAAACUCUUGUUUUAAAUUAAACUAAACUAAACGACUCCUUAGAUAAAUUUAUAGACAGUUUUUAUACUUUUAUAGAAUGCAAUGAAAUGCAGGUUGAACAAAAUGUUUAUAUUAAAUGUUAAUUAGAUUAAAUAUAACGAGUUUAUGAGUUUUUGAAAUUAAGUUCUAAUUACAUUCAUAUUUAGGUUUAAAAAAGUAGUAUAGAUGUUAAUCUUUAAAUUAUACUGUGUUAAUUAUCUAAUCAAAGUAUCUCUUUUGAUUAGAAUUUAAUUUAUUAAAUUAGUGUAGGUUAAUUAAUGUUCUUACACUUUUUUGUUAAUAUUCCAGGAUAUUAUUAGUUCUACUCUCAUAUGUAAAUAUUUUAUUAUCAAAAUGUUCAAAAAUACUUUUUAAUGUGAAUCCGUUAUAUGAUAUUCAUCUUGAACGAAAAACCUCUUUCUUUAUAAAUAAUUGAUUCACGUGAAAAUGAUUAAAUGAUCAAAGAAAGACGGAAGAUUUGCCGACCAAAGAAACCGAGACGUGUAAAUUGUAGUAACGUUGUUUGACUUUAUCUUACGCAUUCUUCUGUCGAUUCCAGAAACAGAAAGGUCAAUUAUUGGCGGGGCACUAGUCACAUUUGUAUGAUAGUGUCACUAUUCGAUAAGCUUCAUUUAGAAAUUACAAAAUCUGCCGACUCCUUGCUCUGCAAUUGGGGUCCCUUCGUGGUUUCCCCUCAAACUUCCAAAAUGCAUUCACAAUUAUAAUUUAUGUACGUUAACACCUUCAAACUCAAAAUAAGUAUAUUAAUUAAAUUUAUUUCAAAAAAAAAAGAAAAAAAGUAUAUUAAUUAAAUAAUACUUCUUUAAUUGAUUAAUUUUGUUAUAAAAAAUAAUAACUUAUAAAACAUGUAUUGGUGAUUUAUAAUAGUAUAUAUAUACUCCUUACGUUUGGUUUGGGAAUGGAGAUUAAGAAAUAAGUGUAAAGUAGUGGAAAAGAGAAAGAAAAAUGUAUGAUGUGGUGAGAGCUAUUGAUUUUUAAUGUAUAAAAGAGAGAUAGGGGAGUAAAAGUGAUGUAAAAAUGGAGGAAAAAUGAGUAAGUGAUGGAACCCAUUGAUUAUUUUUGGUAAGGUUUGAAAUGUAUGGGACAUCCUAAAAAGGAAACGGUAAAGAAAUGAUUAGCACAUGAGGGAGUAUAUUUUUUUAUUAAAUAUAUUGAAUAUUUAUUUUUAUUUUGAAGAUAAAAUUAUGUUCAAGUAAUAUGAAUCUUUAAGUUUCUUUUUUUUGAAGUAAUAAAUCUUUAAGUUAAGAUAGUUUUUUAAUAAAUAAUAAAUGUGUGGUUAAUAUUUUUAUAUAUGUUAAACAAAUAUUUUCAUGUAACAUAUUAAGUAAAUUCUUAAUAUUUUUUUUUUGAUAAAAAAGAAUCAAUUCAUUAAUCAAAAGCCAUAGACAAUCUACAAAUAUAAUCAAAAUUGGACAAACGCUAAAUUAUAUCACUGUUGAAAUUUUCUUUGUUGGAGAGAUAACUAGCUUUGAAAAUGAUUUAAAAUAUAUGUACUUUUUUCACCCAAUUGAUUUUCACUCGACUAUUCUCAAUAAUCAACCAUAAAUACGAUUUCAUAAUAACCUUCGAAUCUAAAUAAACUCAUGAAAAUCAUGCUGAUAUAUAACCUUGGUAGGGAGAACAUCGAAACACACCAAACCGAAAAUCAACAUAAAAUUCAAAUAAAUUGAGAACUCAUUGAAAGGUAACCAAGAUUUCAAACAAGAAAACGGAAAAAAAAAAUUGAGACGGGCGAAAACCGAUGGAAGUCCCUUCAAAUUUUUUUAAUGGAAGCUAGGGUUUGAGGGAGUGAGAGUUGGGAAUGAUACGAAGGAAGUUAGUAUAUAAAUUCUUAAUAUUUAAACCCGUUAAGAAGAUUGAUCCUAAGAAAUAUGAUAACUGGGAACAUUUCUAUGAGUUCUAAUAAUAAUGAUUAUUAAACAGAUUCAAUUAAACAUGUUACAAAUUGAAUAGGUUCGUAUAUAUAUCCAUGUACCCUAAUAAAUUCAGCUAAAUCUGUAGUAGUUGUUUUUGUGUAAUUCUAGUUCAUAAAAUUACUGGGCAGAUUGGUUACAGCUUACUUUGUCUGUGGUCAGUAAUGAAUACAUGCCCUGCUUUAGUAACGUAAUUUUGCGAUUAAUAUUGUGUUAAUAGAUCAGCUCUUCUUUUAAGAGUUGUGUUAAUAGAGCAUAUUAAUGAUUAUAGUAUUUGUCAACCAGCACUCAAUUCCAACUGAGAAAAUAACUCUGUGACAGCUUAAGAAGUUGAAAAUAAUUCAAAUACAUAGCUCCAACUUUAAACAACAGUAAAACAUAUAGUCAUAGAGUGCAAGUGUGCACGAACAUGCAGACAUUAUUAACUAAGGAACAACAGGAGUUGCUACAGCACGAAGCGGGUGAAGCUUGGCCAGAGUGAUCCCAAACUUAUCCUCCAUGUCCAAAUCUCCUGGUGCAAUCCCACCUUCAAGUUUCCAGUCAAAACAAUUUAUGAGGGAUCCCACCAUCAUGGGCACCAUUCUCAUAGCCAGGGGCAAUCCAGGACAUUUCCUGCGACCCGCGCCAAAGGGAAUCAGCUCGAGAUCAUGCCCAUACACAUCAACUUUGGAGUCCAUGAAUCUCUCUGGCUGGAAUGACAGUGGAUUUUCCCAUAGCGUGGGAUCGCGUCCGAAAGCCCAUACAUUCACCAGCACUUGAGAAUUCUUGGGAAUUAUAUAGCCACUUAAUUCAACAUCUUCUGUCACUUGGCGUGGUAGUAAGAAGGGAACUGGUGGGUGCAACCUUGCACUCUCUUUCACAAUGCAUUGCAAAUAAGUCAACUUAGAAAUGUCUGCUUCUUCUACCAUCUUGCCUUUUCCGAUCACUUGAUUCAGCUCAGCUUUCGCCUUGGCCAAUACCGUUUCUGGUUUUCUUAAGACCUCAGCCAUCGCCCAUUCCACUGUACCUGAAGUCGUAUCUGUUCCUGCAAUGAACAAAUCCUGCCCAAGUAUAUAAUUGUUAGAAUACUGAUAAGUACUCCUCCUAGCACUUUCAGAUUUUCGAAGAAUCGAUUACAUAACAUGGUAUCAGAGCUCUCUUAUAUACUCCCUCCGUCCCAGCCAAUUGUAGCCAAUUGUUUACGUUCGGUUUGGGCACGGAGGUUAAGAAAUAUGUAAGUAGUAAAAAAGAGAAAGAAAAGUGGGUAAAAUAGUGGGACCUAUUAAUUUUUAAUGUAUGAAAGGGAGAUAGCGUUAAGAAAUAUGUAAGUAGUAAAAAAGAGAAAGAAAAGUGGGUAAAAUGGUGGGACCCAUUAAUUUUUAACGUAUAAAAGGGAGAUAGCGGAAUAAAAGUAGCGUGAAAACGGAGGAAAGAUUGGGACAUGAUUGGACCCAUAUUUUUGGUAAGUUUUGUAAUAUAAAGAACUGGAAAAGACAUCCCAAAAAGGAAACCGUAAAUAAUCUGGUGGGACGGAGGAGUAUACUAUAGAACAAAUCACUUAUAUACACAAGGAAAAAUUAUCUUACAGUGAGCAAGUGAUUGGCGUGUCGUUUCUCAAUUUCAUUUGUUCGCAACAAUUUUAACAGUUCGUCCAGCACAUCUGUACUAGUACUGUCCUCAGAGUCCCCCAACUUCUUUAGCUCCAAACGCUCAUUUACCAUACCAUCAAACAACUUGAUUACCUUUCCAAAACCAACACUUGAUCGUCCUCUGAUACCUUGAGGAUCGAAAGACCUAAGAAUAGGAAAAUAAUCCACAAAAUUAGGCGUACCUGCCUCCUUCAUAAUAUUCCACACCGUGUCCUUAAACUCCUUAGUGUCACUCCCAUGAUACGGAUCUGCCAUAUCCUUGGAAAACAUGGUAUUCGACAAAAGAUUAAGCGCAGUCUGAAACGCAGCACAACCAAUAUCUACAGCCUCCCCCCUUUCGCUACACUUAUUAACGUAACCAACAAGCUCCUGCACCUUGUUCAUUCGAAGAUGAUGACUUGCAUCCAGCUUGCUUGUAGUAAAAAUAUGAGAGCUCAUAAUUUUUCUUAGAUUCCUCCACUGACUUCCAACAGGCAACCAUGCAACCGAGGACUUGAAAUGGUCGCGAGCACGUAUAGCAUCGGGCAGGGGCCGAGUAGAGAAGGCCAGGUCUUGCUUUUGCAGGACUUCUCGAGCUGCAGUCGGUGAAGUGAUCACUAUGGUGGUUAUACGUCCCAGUCUUAGACUCAUGAUCGGGCCGUAAACCUUAGCCAGUUUGGCUAAGGAUUUAUGCGGUUGUUUGCCGAGGUGGUGUAUAUUUCCUAUUAGUGGCAAGGGGGAUGGUCCUGGUGGAAGCUUUUGAACAGCUUUCACAUGAUUUUUUCGUAGUAAGAAGAGUGAAAAGGCCAGCAGUAUGCACAGCAAACUGAUCAAAAAGAUCUCCAUAUGCGCUGGUUCUGGUUGAACCUUGACGAAGGGUUAAUAUACUGAUAAAAAUAGGAAGAUAUGGGUUGGGAACUUGGGAUGCUUAUGCAAUUGUGUUGGUCUCUGUUUCCAUUUAUACACAAACAUGGCCGACAGAAAAUAGAAAUGAAUGGCUCCAAUUAAAACAACCUAAAAUGUCAAUGUCCAGAAUACUGAUUAAAGAUUUUACGGCUCAAUUAUUUCUCAAAUACAUUUCGCAGGCAUAACAACCAUUUUUUAGUUAAGUAUCGGAUUUUUAUUGGUUUUAAUCUCAUUAAUAGUGAUGACGCUAUUUGUGAUAGCUGUCUUGACAUUAAUGUGAUUCCACCAAUUAAGUCCCGAUUAUCUAAUUGAUUGCUAAACGGUGAUUCAACCGAUUAAUCCUAAUUUAGGUUUUUUUACAAUACUGGUGUGGAUUUUUAUCAUCUCUAGCCUCCUCGUACAUGAAUUCUUAUCGUUUGUGUUUACAAGGCCGAAUCUAGAAAUUUGGGUGCUCUAAACCAUUUUUGAAACUGGUGCCCUUAUUUUUCAAGAUCGUAAAUGAAAAUUUUACAUACAUUUAAAUUCAAUAUACAAAGAAAUCAUAAAAACAUUGGUUUAGGAUUAACAUAAUCAAUUCAAAUGCAUGUAAAUAUAUAAAUACAUAAAUAUAUCAUUAUAUACUACAUAUGUAUAGAUUUUUUAAUGCCCUGAGAUAGUGAUGGUCAAGACGUUCGUCUUGGUAUGCCGACCAAGGGCCAUUCCUGUGUGUUUCUAGUGAGGGAUUUAAGAGUCAACCAGAUAGUUCACAACCUGGUUGGUGACCAAAGACCAUUCCUGGAUGUUUCUGUUGAGAGAUUUAAGAGUCAGCCAGAUAGUUCACAACCUUCGUAACAACCAUAAUCUGCAACGUACUUCUGAAAGCCAUGGCCAUUGCUCUCCAAACACUAACCAUAAAUUAGGACAAUCUUGGGGGCAUGGCCCUGAUAUAGCUCUGUUGUAGACUGAUAUAUAUAUAUAUAUAUUAAUACAGAACAUCACAGCCCGUUUUGGUGUGUAAAAAACUAAACCUCACUCCUUAAUUUGAAAACGCUAAUAAACUUAAGGUUUGUCUAGUAUGUGCCAUGAGACUGAAUUCUAUAAAUUUGGGACAUUUUGAUUGGUGUGUUUAUUGUAUUUGCAUGGGUUCCACAAAUAAUAAGAAAUAGGAGCCAAUUAAAAUGAGUAAAACUUGUAAUUUCUAGUGUUUAGCAUGUGCCAUGAGCACACUGGAAAAACCGAUAAACUUAUUGGUGUAGAAAAUGGCAAAUGAGAAAACAAUCAAAGUGACUGCAACCAAACUGUCUUGGACCAUUGUCAGAUCUAGAAGAUUGUGACAUGUAUAUUAUAUUAUUAAAUCCCAAAAUUUUUUGUCAGUAUUUGGGUAAAAUUAUGAGCUUAUUUAUAUAAUAAAAAACUAAUUUUUAUAUUUCCUAACUAAAAAAAAUUCAAAUUUUUAAUAAUAAUAUUGGACAACAUAGCAAUUAACUUUUUUAACAAAAUCAGAUUCCUAACUAAAAACUCGAUUUCUAAAAAUAACACAUGCAAUAUACAUUAAAAAAUGAAAUAUUAUUAUAUAUAAUUAUUAAUAUACAACUAAUGAUAUAUUUCAACUAAUGUUAUUUUUAAUUACUCCAUGUUAUCAAUUUAAUAUCAUGGAUCCAUACAAUCCAUUUAUACUAUCCUGUACAAUAAUAAUAAUAUUAUUAUUAUCAUCAUUAUUAUUUUUAUAUUAAAAAUGAAAUAUUAAUAAUUUAAUUGGUUAGUCGAAUUUUAUCUGCCGACUAGUAUUAUUCAUAUGGGUCUCCUUAAUAUAUAAUGUUUCCAAUAAAUCAUUUUAUUAUAAAUAAAGCCAAAAAUUUUAAAAAUUCGGUUAAUAUGAUCGAUUUGUAUGUCAAUUAAAUUUAAACUAUAGAAGACAAAUUUAUAGAUGUUAAAAAUCACUAUACGGGUUAUAAGCUGGUGAUGAUUAAAAAGCAAUUAUUAAAAGUAUAAUUUUUAAACAAUGAUAAACAUACAGUCUUAGAGUGGCAUGUAAAAAAAAGUAGUCGUCACGGAACAACAAGAGUUGCUAGAGCACGAAGGGGAUGAAGCUUGGCCAGAGUGAUCCCGAACUUAUCCUCCAUGUCCAACUCCCCUGCUGCAAUAUCACCUUCAAGUUCCCAGUCAAAACAAUUUAUGAGGGAUCCCACCAUGAUGGGCACCAUCCUCAUGGCCAGGGGCAAUCCAGGACAUUUCCUUCGACCCGCGCCAAAUGGAAUCAGCUCGAGAUCAUGCCCAUACACAUCAACUUUGGAGUCCGUGAAUCUCUCCGGCUGGAAUGACAGUGGAUUUUCCCAUAGGGCAGGAUCGCGCCCAAAAGACCAUACAUUCACCAGCACUUGCGAAUUUUUGGGAAUUAUAUAGCCACUUAAUUCAACAUCUUCUGUCACUUGGCGUGGUAGCAAGAAGGGAACCGGUGGGUGCAACCUUGCACUCUCUUUCACAAUGCAUUGCAAAUAAGUCAACUUAGAAAUGUCUGCUUCUUCUACUAUCUUGCCUUUUCCGAUCACUUGAUUCAGCUCAGCUUUCGCCCUGGCCAAUACUGUUUCCGAUUUCUUUAAUACCUCAGCCAUCGCCCAUUCCACUGUACUUGAAGUCGUCUCUGUUCCUGCAACGAACAAGUCCUGUCCAAGUAUAUAAUUUGUGACUUUAAUCAAUUCGGAUAUCAUGAUUUGUAUGAUUAUGACAAAAAAGCAAUUGACAAAAAUCCUUAUAUAUCCUAUAGAACAAAUCACUUAUUAUCUUACCGUGAACAAGUGAUUGGUGUGUCGUCUGUCAAUUUCAUUUGUUCGCAACAAUUUCAGCAGUUCGUCGAGCACAUCUAUACUAAGAUUGUCCUCAGAGUCCCCCAAUUUCUUCAGCUCCAAACGCUCAUUUACCAUACCAUCAAACAACUUGAUUAACUUUCGAAAAUGAACACUUGUUCGUCGUUUAAUACCUUGAGGAUCGAUAGACCUAAGAAUAGGAAAAUAAUCCGCAAAAUUAGGCUUACCGGACUCCAUCAUAAUGCUCCACACCGUGUCCUUAAACUCCCUAGCUACAUUCCCAUGAUACGGAUCUGCGAUAUCCUUGGAAAACAUGGUAUUAGACAAAAGAUUAAGCGCGGUCUGAAAUGCAGCACAACCAAUAUCUACAGCCUCCCCCCUUUCGCUACACUUACUAACGUAACCAACAAGCUCCUGCACCUUGUUCGUUCGAAGAUGAUGACUUGCAUCCAGCUUGCUAGUAGUAAAAAUAUACGAGCUCAUAAUUUUUCUUAGGCUCCUCCACUGAUUUCCAACAGGCAACCAUGUAACCGAGGACUUGAAAUGGUCGCAAGCACGUAUAGCAUCGGGUUGGGUCCGAGUAGAGAAGGCCAGGUCUUGCUUUUGGAGGACUUCUCGAGCUGCAGUCGGUGAAGAGAUGACUAUGGUGGUUAUGCGUCCCAGUCUUAGACUCAUGAUCGGACCGUAAACAUGAGCCAGGUUGGCUAGUGAUUUAUGCGGGUGUUUGCCGAGAUUGUGUAUAUUUCCUAUGAGUGGCAAUGGGGAGGGUCCUGGUGGAAGCUUUUGAACAGCUUUGACAUUGUUUCUUUGUAGUAAGAAGAGUGAAAAGGCCAGCACUAUGCAGAAAAAAC
This 17851-nucleotide long non-coding RNA is filed under the name Daucus carota (carrot). RNAcentral describes it as "long non-coding RNA (DCAR_LNC004387)". The record is from RNAcentral. Lineage: Eukaryota; Viridiplantae; Streptophyta; Magnoliopsida; Apiales; Apiaceae.